This 491-nucleotide ribosomal RNA is filed under the name uncultured bacterium. Its description in RNAcentral is "partial 16S ribosomal RNA". It matches the Rfam family "Bacterial small subunit ribosomal RNA", at positions 29 to 507 of the family's 1533-position model. The record is from RNAcentral.
GUGAACGCUGGCGGUCGGCCUAACACAUGCAAGUCGAACGGCAGCACAGUAAGAGCUUGCUCUUACGGGUGGCGAGUGGCGGACGGGUGAGGAAUACAUCGGAAUCUACUUUUUCGUGGGGGAUAACGUAGGGAAACUUACGCUAAUACCGCAUACGACCUACGGGUGAAAGCAGGGGAUCUUCGGACCUUGCGCGAUUGAAUGAGCCGAUGUCGGAUUAGCUAGUUGGCGGGGUAAAGGCCCACCAAGGCGACGAUCCGUAGCUGGUCUGAGAGGAUGAUCAGCCACACUGGAACUGAGACACGGUCCAGACUCCUACGGGAGGCAGCAGUGGGGAAUAUUGGACAAUGGGCGCAAGCCUGAUCCAGCCAUACCGCGUGGGUGAAGAAGGCCUUCGGGUUGUAAAGCCCUUUUGUUGGGAAAGGAAAGCAGCAGGUUAAUACCCCGCUGUUCUGACGGUACCCAAAGAAUAAGCACCGGCUAACUUCGUG